This 1599-nucleotide ribosomal RNA is filed under the name Escherichia coli. RNAcentral's name for it is "partial 23S ribosomal RNA". It matches the Rfam family "Bacterial large subunit ribosomal RNA", at positions 1236 to 2817 of the family's 2925-position model. The record is from RNAcentral. Lineage: Bacteria; Pseudomonadati; Pseudomonadota; Gammaproteobacteria; Enterobacterales; Enterobacteriaceae.
GCGUUCUGUAAGCCUGUGAAGGUGGCCUGUGAGGGUUGCUGGAGGUAUCAGAAGUGCGAAUGCUGACAUAAGUAACGAUAAAGCGGGUGAAAAGCCCGCUCGCCGGAAGACCAAGGGUUCCUGUCCAACGUUAAUCGGGGCAGGGUGAGUCGACCCCUAAGGCGAGGCCGAAAGGCGUAGUCGAUGGGAAACAGGUUAAUAUUCCUGUACUUGGUGUUACUGCGAAGGGGGGACGGAGAAGGCUAUGUUGGCCGGGCGACGGUUGUCCCGGUUUAAGCGUGUAGGCUGGUUUUCCAGGCAAAUCCGGAAAACCAAGGCUGAGGCGUGAUGACGAGGCACUACGGUGCUGAAGCGACAAAUGCCCUGCUUCCAGGAAAAGCCUCUAAGCAUCAGGUAACAUCAAAUCGUACCCCAAACCGACACAGGUGGUCAGGUAGAGAAUACCAAGGCGCUUGAGAGAACUCGGGUGAAGGAACUAGGCAAAAUGGUGCCGUAACUUCGGGAGAAGGCACGCUGAUAUGUAGGUGAAGCGACUUGCUCGUGGAGCUGAAAUCAGUCGAAGAUACCAGCUGGCUGCAACUGUUUAUUAAAAACACAGCACUGUGCAAACACGAAAGUGGACGUAUACGGUGUGACGCCUGCCCGGUGCCGGAAGGUUAAUUGAUGGGGUUAGCGGCAACGCGAAGCUCUUGAUCGAAGCCCCGGUAAACGGCGGCCGUAACUAUAACGGUCCUAAGGUAGCGAAAUUCCUUGUCGGGUAAGUUCCGACCUGCACGAAUGGCGUAAUGAUGGCCAGGCUGUCUCCACCCGAGACUCAGUGAAAUUGAACUCGCUGUGAAGAUGCAGUGUACCCGCGGCAAGACGGAAAGACCCCGUGAACCUUUACUAUAGCUUGACACUGAACAUUGAGCCUUGAUGUGUAGGAUAGGUGGGAGGCUUUGAAGUGUGGACGCCAGUCUGCAUGGAGCCGACCUUGAAAUACCACCCUUUAAUGUUUGAUGUUCUAACGUUGGCCCGUAAUCCGGGUUGCGGACAGUGUCUGGUGGGUAGUUUGACUGGGGCGGUCUCCUCCUAAAGAGUAACGGAGGAGCACGAAGGUUGGCUAAUCCUGGUCGGACAUCAGGAGGUUAGUGCAAUGGCAUAAGCCAGCUUGACUGCGAGCGUGACGGCGCGAGCAGGUGCGAAAGCAGGUCAUAGUGAUCCGGUGGUUCUGAAUGGAAGGGCCAUCGCUCAACGGAUAAAAGGUACUCCGGGGAUAACAGGCUGAUACCGCCCAAGAGUUCAUAUCGACGGCGGUGUUUGGCACCUCGAUGUCGGCUCAUCACAUCCUGGGGCUGAAGUAGGUCCCAAGGGUAUGGCUGUUCGCCAUUUAAAGUGGUACGCGAGCUGGGUUUAGAACGUCGUGAGACAGUUCGGUCCCUAUCUGCCGUGGGCGCUGGAGAACUGAGGGGGGCUGCUCCUAGUACGAGAGGACCGGAGUGGACGCAUCACUGGUGUUCGGGUUGUCAUGCCAAUGGCACUGCCCGGUAGCUAAAUGCGGAAGAGAUAAGUGCUGAAAGCAUCUAAGCACGAAACUUGCCCCGAGAUGAGUUCUCCCUG